This 497-nucleotide ribosomal RNA is filed under the name uncultured bacterium. RNAcentral's name for it is "partial 16S ribosomal RNA". It matches the Rfam family "Bacterial small subunit ribosomal RNA", at positions 28 to 507 of the family's 1533-position model. The record is from RNAcentral.
GAUGAACGCUGGCGGCGUGCCUAAUACAUGCAAGUCGAGCGAACAGACGAGGAGCUUGCUCCUCUGACGUUAGCGGCGGACGGGUGAGUAACACGUGGAUAACCUACCUAUAAGACUGGGAUAACUUCGGGAAACCGGAGCUAAUACCGGAUAAUAUAUUGAACCGCAUGGUUCAAUAGUGAAAGACGGUUUUGCUGUCACUUAUAGAUGGAUCCGCGCCGCAUUAGCUAGUUGGUAAGGUAACGGCUUACCAAGGCAACGAUGCGUAGCCGACCUGAGAGAGUGAUCGGCCGCACUAGAACUGAGACACGGUCCAGACUCCUACGGGAGGCAGCAGUAGGGAAUCUGCCGCAAUGGGCGAAAGCAUGACGGAGCAACGCCGCGUGAGUGAUGAAGGUCUUCGGAUCGUAAAACUCUGUUAUUAGGGAAGAACAAAUGUGUAAGUAACUAUGCACGUCUUGACGGUACCUAAUCAGAAAGCCACGGCUAACUACGUG